AUGAAGAAUUAUGCAGAUAAACAUCAAACUGACAAGCAGUUUGCGGUUGGACAGGAGGUAUUUCUGCAAUUGCAACCUUAUGUACAGUCUUCUGUUGUUCACAGGGCCAACCAUAAGCUGUCAUUUAAGUUUUAUGGGCCAUAUAAGAUCUUAGAACAUAUUGGAGAGGUGGCUUAUCGAUUGGAACUUCCAGAAUCAAGCAAGAUACACCCAGUCUUUCAUGCUUCUCAUCUCAAGCAAUACAUAAAGCUUCCUUCUCAGGUACAAUCAUCACUUCCUUCUGACCUUUCACUCAUUCAGAUUCCUGUGCGAGUGUUGCAACAGAGAAUCAGGCGCAAAGGGGACCGUACUGUUGCUCAAGUACUUGUGGAGUGGAGUAAUUCAUCGCCCCAGGAGGCCACCUGGGAGGAUACUGAUUCCUUGAAGCAAAAGUUUCCAAGAGCUCCGGCUUGGGGCGCUAGUACUUCCAUGGAUAACGCCAACAGUGCUGAGAAGGAGGGAAGAUUCAAAGGCAACGCUCCUGGGCCAGCGGCGCAGCCCACUCUCGAGAAAAGGCUUCCCCAGUGGCUUGCAAGCCCGAACUGGGCCCGAUAA
RNAcentral lists this ribosomal RNA (594 nucleotides) under Triticum aestivum (bread wheat). Its description in RNAcentral is "partial small subunit ribosomal RNA". The record is from RNAcentral. Lineage: Eukaryota; Viridiplantae; Streptophyta; Magnoliopsida; Poales; Poaceae.